GGAGAGGUGUCUGAGUGGUUUAAGGAGACAGUCUUGAAAACUGUUGUACCUUCACGGGUACCGUGAGUUCGAAUCUCACCCUCUCCGCCA
This 90-nucleotide transfer RNA is filed under the name Candidatus Uhrbacteria bacterium. RNAcentral's name for it is "tRNA-Ser". It matches the Rfam family "tRNA". From Rfam's summary of the family: Transfer RNA (tRNA) molecules are approximately 80 nucleotides in length. Their secondary structure includes four short double-helical elements and three loops (D, anti-codon, and T loops). The record is from RNAcentral. Lineage: Bacteria; Candidatus Uhriibacteriota.